GAAGCCAAGGGCAGCACGAACAGAAACAGAAAAACAGAGAGGAAAAGAAGAGAAAGGAGAGGAAGAGAAGAAGAAGAAGAAAGGGAGGGUUUUGCGCCGCGCGGACCUCGCCUAGCCGAUUCGACUUCGAAUCGCAACGCUCGGUAUUCGAGUGCGUCGGCUCGAGAAACCGCUGUAGGUUAGUUUUCAGCUUUUCAAGGUUCUUCACCGAGACGCUAGUAGGCGUGAGAGUUCCAGUGUCGGGGAGAACAUUUUGAUAGUUGUGACUUUUUGGUACGAGUUACACAUGGAUGUGGAGCUUAAUGUACUUAGCUUUUUGGUGGAUUGUAGUUAACUCUGAUAUUGUAACCAAAUAAACUUUAUAUCA
This is a long non-coding RNA of Syzygium oleosum, 367 nucleotides long. RefSeq lists it as uncharacterized. The transcript is spliced from 3 exons. Lineage: Eukaryota; Viridiplantae; Streptophyta; Magnoliopsida; Myrtales; Myrtaceae. The record is from RefSeq and is a predicted model, not a curated record.